GACGAACGCUGGCGGCGUGCUUAACACAUGCAAGUCGAACGGAAAGGCCCUGCUUUUGUGGGGUGCUCGAGUGGCGAACGGGUGAGUAACACGUGAGUAACCUGCCCUUGACUUUGGGAUAACUUCAGGAAACUGGGGCUAAUACCGGAUAGGAGCUCCUGCUGCAUGGUGGGGGUUGGAAAGUUUCGGCGGUUGGGGAUGGACUCGCGGCUUAUCAGCUUGUUGGUGGGGUAGUGGCUUACCAAGGCCUUGACGGGUAGCCGGCCUGAGAGGGUGACCGGCCACAUUGGGACUGAGAUACGGCCCAGACUCCUACGGGAGGCAGCAGUGGGGAAUAUUGCACAAUGGGCGGAAGCCUGAUGCAGCAACGCCGCGUGCGGGAUGACGGCCUUCGGGUUGUAAACCGCUUUCGCCUGUGACGAAGCGUGAGUGACGGUAAUGGGUAAAGAAGCACCGGCUGACUACGUG
This 468-nucleotide ribosomal RNA is filed under the name uncultured bacterium. RNAcentral describes it as "partial 16S ribosomal RNA". It matches the Rfam family "Bacterial small subunit ribosomal RNA", at positions 28 to 507 of the family's 1533-position model. The record is from RNAcentral.